RNAcentral lists this non-coding RNA (783 nucleotides) under Bombyx mori (domestic silkworm). Lineage: Eukaryota; Metazoa; Arthropoda; Insecta; Lepidoptera; Bombycidae. The record is from RNAcentral.
AAUAAAAUUAUUUAUGGUUUAAAAAUUUAUUAUAAAUUUAUUUUACAUAUAAAUUUUAGUGUUAAUUUUUAAUUUAUUUAAAUAAUAAUUAAUAUUUAUUUGUAGUAAUUAGAAUUAAAAAUUUAAGUAAUUAAGAUUUAGUAAUAUUUAAAUUAAUAACAAAUUUUGUGCCAGCAGUUGCGGUUAUACAAAAAUUAAAUUAAAUUUUUUUAGGAAUUAAUUAAUAAUAGAUUAUAUAAUAAAAUUAAAAUUUAAAUUAUUAAGUGAAAUUUUAAUUUAUGAAAAUUUUAUAUUGAAUUAUGAAUUAAAAAAUUUUAUUAAAAACUAGGAUUAGAUACCCUAUUAUUAAAAAUUUAAAUUAAUAAUACUAAAAUAGUAUAUAAUUAUUUAUAAAAACUUAAAUAAUUUGGCGGUAUUUUAGUUUAUUUAGAGGAAUCUGUUUAUUAAUUGAUAUUCCACGAAUAAAUUUACUUAAUUUAUUUAAUUUUGUAUAUCGUUGUUAAAAAAAUAUUUUAAAAUAAUAAUAAUAUUUUAAUUUUUAUAUUAAAAGUUAAAUCAGAUCAAGAUGCAGAUUAUAAUUAAGAAUAUAAUGGAUUACAAUAAAUUUAUUUAAUUGGAUGUUAUUUUUAAAAAUUAAUUGAAAUUGGAUUUAAAUGUAAUUUUAUUUAAUUUAUUAAAAUGAUUUUAAUUUAAAAUAUGUACAUAUUGCCCGUCGCUUUCAUUAAUAAAUUGAAAUAAGUCGUAACAAAGUAGAGGUACUGGAAAGUGUUUCUAGAAAGAGUA